RNAcentral lists this long non-coding RNA (2026 nucleotides) under Struthio camelus australis. RNAcentral's name for it is "lncRNA (ENSSCUG00000016741.1)". Lineage: Eukaryota; Metazoa; Chordata; Aves; Struthioniformes; Struthionidae. The record is from RNAcentral.
CGAGUCGCGCCGUCCCUCCCCAGUGUUCGACUGCAGCGCAGCCUACGGCCCGGGGUUCAAGGCCUCCGUCGUCGGCCGGGACAUCCUGACGCCGCCAGACCUGGAGAGGAUCUUCGGGCUGCCCGGUGGGAACAUCUUCCACGGAGCGAUGUCUCUGGACCAGCUGUACUUUGCCCGGCCGGCACCAUCCUAUUCAGGCUACAGGUCCCCAAUUCCAGGCUUGUACCUGUGUGGAAGUGGAGCCCAUCCUGGUGAGUAGGGGUGGGAGCUGGGACCCCCGGGGGGCUGCAGGAGGGAGGGCAGGGUGCACAGAGGAGGUGCAGAGGCAGCACAGGGCAUGGGGCCAGCACCAGCCCUCCACCCUGGUGCGAGCCGUGAGACGGAGCAGCUCUCAUGGUGCAGUCACAGGCCCCGUCUCCUGGGGCCGGAGCUGCCCGCUGCUCCCGUGUCUGCUGCCUUGCCGGGGGGGGAGUGAUGGGGGCAGCAGGACGCAAAGGGGUGGCCCUCGAGGACUUCAGGCGGCUGUGACGGCAGCAGUGAUGCCAGCGUCGCCUGCGCAGGGUUGUGGCUGCUGUGAACUGUGUCAUGCCCUGGGGGUGGGACCAGGGAGCUCUGGGCCAUGCCCCUGCCUGGCCCUGGGCAGGACACUCGUGCCCCUUGUGCUCCCAGCUGGCACCUUCAUGUUGAACAUGUGGCUGCUCCCUGCCUGCUGUGGCCUUGCCUUGCGCUGGUGGCUCCUCUCCUCCUGCACGUGGGGCGUCUCGCUCGCCCCAGGACCUCGCUGCACUUGGGAAAGUAAACACCACCGUGGGCUCUGCAUUUAGCACUUUCUCUGUGGUUUUUCAGCUCUUCCUGCAGCUGGUGAUGCACCGCUGGGUUUGCUGGCCUCAGCGCAAGGUGGGAGCGCGGCCAGCUCUCGGGCCUGGGGCAGUGCACUGGGCUGUUGGUGCUGCAUCUGGCUGUGCUGCCCCUGUGGGACCUGCCGGAGGGGACAUGCACGUCACAGAGUGGUGACCAGGGAGAACUGGCCCCUCACCGUCUCCUCCAUCACCAAAGCAUGCUCCAGUUGGCUCAGGACUAUUUGGUUAGAGCCACCCCAAGCUGAGCAGGGAAUGAGGAAGGUGCUCGAGGCCUGUGGCACCCCCAGUGUGUCCCUUGUUGCCCUGGGCCCCUGGGCUGUGCACGUACAACAGCCGGGCGACCAGCUGGGAGAUAGCAGAAGGCUGCGAGGGUGUUGGGACCUUGGCUGUGGGCUGGAGGACACUCUCUCGGUGGGGCCCUGGACGGAGUGGGGCUUUCAGGGAGAUACAACAACAAUUCUCCUACUUCAAUGUUUGUUACCUUGCAUCAGGCCAACUCACCUGGUCGUGGCAUGGAGGGGAAGGAGACAACUGACCCCACACAACUAUAUGAACUGACUAUGGCAGAGGAUAGUGGCUCCCUACCCCAUGUGCAGGGCUACGUUUUUGGGGUCCCAGCAGAGAGCAAUGUGCUCCCUAGGAACUAGCCAGCGUCCUUUGGCACCAGGGUCUGGAUCAGCUCCUGAAAGCUACUGCUGUCCUUGCUGCUUACAAGAGGGGACACAAAGUGUGAGUAGCACGUUUGUCCCUUCAAGUCACCCUCUGCUAGCCUCACCCCAGGGCCCUGAGUCACGACAGAGCCCCCCCACCUCCAGUCCGUGAUAUGUGAUGUGGGAGCAGGGAGCACGCACAGCCCGCUCGGAGGCUGGCUGCAGGAGCAGCCCCGGGCAGGGGCCGGGGGGCAGCCCUCCCCCUGCUGCAGGGGGCGCCCCAGGCUGAGCACAGUGAGACCCCCCCUCGGCACUGCUCGCACAGCCCCAGCCAUGCUGUGCCCCUUUCCCGGAGCUGGCCGCUGUGCUGCCCCGUGCCUCUGCUGGGAGCCACUUGCUGAAGAUUACAGAGCUCACAUCCUCUCCCCGGCCCUUUUCCUCCUGGGCACAAUGCUCCCGAUUCAGCUCCCGGCCUCUCCUCCUGCCGGGCCCUAAAUAAAGUGCUUCCGGGCUGAG